This 254-nucleotide ribosomal RNA is filed under the name uncultured bacterium. RNAcentral describes it as "partial 16S ribosomal RNA". It matches the Rfam family "Bacterial small subunit ribosomal RNA", at positions 524 to 776 of the family's 1533-position model. The record is from RNAcentral.
UACGAAGGGGGCUAGCGUUGUUCGGAUUUACUGGGCGUAAAGCGCACGUAGGCGGAUCGUUAAGUCGGGGGUGAAAUCCUGGAGCUCAACUCCAGAACUGCCUUCGAUACUGGCGAUCUUGAGUCCGGGAAGAGGUGAGUGGAACUCCUAGUGUAGAGGUGGAAUUCGUAGAUAUUAGGAAGAACACCAGUGGCGAAGGCGGCUCACUGGUCCGGUACUGACGCUGAGGUGCGAAAGCGUGGGGAGCAAACAGG